AUACGUAGGGUGCAAGCGUUGUUCGGAAUUACUGGGCGUAAAGGGCGUGUAGGCGGCCUAUUAAGCCAAGGGUGAAAUCCCAGAGCUCAACUCUGGAACUGCUUUUGGAACUAAUAGGCUUGAGUAUGUGAGAGGUUAGCGGAAUUCCUGGUGUAGAGGUGAAAUUCGUAGAUAUCAGGAGGAACACCGGUGGCGAAGGCGGCUAACUGGCACAUAACUGACGCUGAGGCGCGAAGGCGUGGGUAGCAAACAGGAUUAGAAACCCCAGUAGUCC
This 274-nucleotide ribosomal RNA is filed under the name uncultured bacterium. RNAcentral's name for it is "partial 16S ribosomal RNA". It matches the Rfam family "Bacterial small subunit ribosomal RNA", at positions 523 to 796 of the family's 1533-position model. The record is from RNAcentral.